Molecule: long non-coding RNA, 1243 nt
Organism: Topomyia yanbarensis
Lineage: Eukaryota; Metazoa; Arthropoda; Insecta; Diptera; Culicidae
Exons: 2
Source: RefSeq, a predicted model, not a curated record
CUUUUUUAAGCAUGUGUUAGAAUUGAACGCUUGGUAGUGUGGGUAGGAAAAUUUGUGUUCAGCUUUGCCACCGGAUUAUCCAUUUAAACCUUUUUAAAACUCUAAAAGAAGAAUAUCAGUCGAUUUAUUAGAUCAUCACGAUUCAAUUCAUGCAAAAUACCUGCUGGAAAAACCAUCGGCUUAGCUAAACGGUGCUUUUGAAAAAGUGGCUGUGGUUUUUUCAUUGCGCAGUUGUGGUGCGUACCCCAGCUCGGUGUGGUAGUGUGAUAAAAAAUCACAGCCACUUUUCAAAAGCACCAUCAAGCUAAGCCGAUUGUUUUUCCAGCAGAGUUUUGAAAAGGUUUAAAUGGAUAAUCUGGUGGCAAAGCUGAACACAAUUUUUCUUACGCAUACUACCAAGCCUUGAGGUAACUUGAGCCUUAACUUCUUUGCGUCUUCAAAAACACUUCCGGCAACCUUGAACGUGAGGCAAAACAAUCGCGAAAGGAUCGUUUGCGCACAGCAUUAUCUGGCUCGUGGUGUUGGUCGGCUGAGCUUGCGAUUUUACUUUUGCUGUUGAUCAGUGAUCGAAUUGGUUGAAGGGAGCGUGUAUUCGCGGUCCAGCGCAGUGCGAGCUGCAGAAGGUGGUGAGACGUGAGAGGCAGCCUAUAACGCUGCUAUCUCGAAUAGAUGCGGGCGAAGUGAACUUGUUUCCGCAGCCGUUUUGCGAGCUCAGUGCAUAACAGACAUAGUCGCUAAGGUGUGUGGGUUUUUCUGUUCACUUUCAAGCGACUAAACACAUACUCGCUACCAUUUAUGCCGUAAGAAGAAUUUUAUUAGUUUUGUUAUUAGAAUCAAGGUUGUUUCUCGGUUCGUAGUGCAGUCUGAAUUGGAACAGUGUGUUGUGCAGUUUAUCUUUUUUAGAGAAAAAUGGAUGGAAAGAGCUGCAUUAGUUUUGAAUGUCAGUGACGGACAUUUGUGUAUGUUUUUUUUAAACCAAGCUAUGAAGUAAAUAUUCGAAAAAAACCUGUAUUUUUACAAAAUGUUAUAUCAUUUGCAUAUUUCGGAACACAACCAUUGAAUGGAACUGAGUUCCACAAUCCACAAUUGUACCCAAAAUAUACAAUAAUGUUUCGAUUAUAUACUGGUCGGUCUGUAUUUUAGUGUGAUGUAUUCAAAGCAAAACAAAAAAUAACAUUCAAGCAUUAACCCAUGUAUUUCUAUAAACAAAAAGUAAUAAAAAGAUAAAGUUAAUCAAAAAGAA